Long non-coding RNA from Perca fluviatilis (European perch), 175 nucleotides. RefSeq lists it as uncharacterized. The transcript is spliced from 3 exons. NCBI's taxonomy places the organism in Eukaryota, Metazoa, Chordata, Actinopteri, Perciformes, Percidae. The record is from RefSeq and is a predicted model, not a curated record.
GAGGUGGAGAAGAUGAGGAGUCAGUUCUCAGGGUUCAGACCUGGUCUGCUGGUUCUGCAGGUGGGCGACAGAGACGACUCUAAUCUGUACAUCAGCUCCAAACUGAAGGCUGCAGCCGAGAUCGGAAUCGAUGCGAGACACGUGCGGCUGCCGAACACGGCGACACAAGACGUGA